RNAcentral lists this ribosomal RNA (800 nucleotides) under uncultured ciliate. RNAcentral's name for it is "SSU rRNA". It matches the Rfam family "Eukaryotic small subunit ribosomal RNA", at positions 1 to 817 of the family's 1831-position model. The record is from RNAcentral. Lineage: Eukaryota; Ciliophora.
AACCUGGUUGAUCCUGCCAGUAGUCAUAUGCUUGUCUCAAAGACUAAGCCAUGCAUGUCUAAGUAUAAAUGUUAUACAGUGAAACUGCGAAUGGCUCAUUAAAACAGUUAUAGUUUAUUUGAUAAUCGAAUUUUACAUGGAUAACCGUGGUAAUUCUAGAGCUAAUACAUGCUGGUUAGCCUGACUUUUAGGAAGGGCUGUAUUUAUUAAAUAACAAACCAAUAUUCCUUGUGUCUAUUGUGACGACUCAUAAUAACUGAUCGAAUCGCAUGGACUUUGUCCGCGAUAAAUCAUUCAAGUUUCUGCCCCAUCAGCUAUCGAUGGUAGUGUAUUGGACUACCAUGGCUUUAACGGGUAACGGGGGAUUAGGGUUCGAUUCCGGAGAGGGAGCCUGAGAAACGGCUACCACAUCUAAGGAAGGCAGCAGGCGCGUAAAUUACCCAAUCCUAAUUCAGGGAGGUAGUGACAAGAAAUAACGGACCGAAGCUUUUGUUUCGGGAUUGCAAUGAGUCGAAUUUAAACCCCUUAGCGAGGAUCAAUUGGAGGGCAAGUCUGGUGCCAGCAGCCGCGGUAAUUCCAGCUCCAAUAGCAUAUAUUAAAGUUGUUGCAGUUAAAAAGCUCGUAGUUGGAUUUCUGGGAGGGUGCCAAUGUCCGCUUGUUAGCGUGUGCAGCGGCGCCCUCCCAUCCUUCUGUUAACGUUUCUUGGUAUUCACUUACUGGUUUCGGGCUCAGAUAUUUUACCUUGAGAAAAUUAGAGUGUUUCAGGCAGGCUUGCGCCGGAAUACAUUAGCAUGGAAUAA